ACCUGACAUCCUUCCAUAAGGUAAGUAGGAUUAAGAUUCCUGCCCCUCUUCAGGAAAGUAGCAACUUGGGAUAAAAUCUGGCAUGCCUCAGCUUUUCAGGGCAGAAGGUCAUGUGUAAUUUCCUUUGCCUUCCUUUGGCUGCCUACAAGG
Small nucleolar RNA from Phyllostomus hastatus (greater spear-nosed bat), 150 nucleotides. RefSeq annotates it as small nucleolar RNA SNORA67. The record is from RefSeq and is a predicted model, not a curated record. The transcript has a single exon. Lineage: Eukaryota; Metazoa; Chordata; Mammalia; Chiroptera; Phyllostomidae.